AUACGGAGGAUCCGAGCGUUAUCCGGAUUUAUUGGGUUUAAAGGGUGCUCAGGCGGGGGAUUAAGUCGGCGGUGAAAUUUUGCAGCUCAACUGUAAAAGUGCCUUCGAAACUGGUUUCCUUGAGUGUGGAUGAGGUAGGCGGAAUUUGUGGUGUAGCGGUGAAAUGCAUAGAUAUCACGAGGAACUCCGAUUGCGCAGGCAGCUUACUAAACCAUAACUGACGCUCAAGCACGAAGGCGUGGGGAUCAAACAGGAUUAGAUACCCUGGUAGUCCACGCAGUAAACGAUGAUUACUGGCUGUUUGCGAUAUAAUGUAAGCGGCUGAGCGAAAGCGUUAAGUAAUCCACCUGGGGAGUACGCUCGCAAGAAUGAAACUCAAAUGAAUUGACGGGG
RNAcentral lists this ribosomal RNA (393 nucleotides) under uncultured bacterium. RNAcentral describes it as "partial 16S ribosomal RNA". It matches the Rfam family "Bacterial small subunit ribosomal RNA", at positions 523 to 918 of the family's 1533-position model. The record is from RNAcentral.